GCUCCCAUCGUCUAGAGGCCUAGGACACCGCCCUUUCACGGCGGUAACAGGGGUUCGAAUCCCCUUGGGAGUA
RNAcentral lists this transfer RNA (73 nucleotides) under Psychrosphaera haliotis. Its description in RNAcentral is "Pseudoalteromonas sp. KDW4 tRNA". It matches the Rfam family "tRNA". Rfam says of the family: Transfer RNA (tRNA) molecules are approximately 80 nucleotides in length. RNAcentral also lists the same sequence under 1 other name. Lineage: Bacteria; Pseudomonadati; Pseudomonadota; Gammaproteobacteria; Alteromonadales; Pseudoalteromonadaceae. The record is from Rfam by way of RNAcentral.